CUUGGUCAUUUAGAGGAAGUAAAAGUCGUAACAAGGUUUCCGUANGUGAACCUGCGGAAGGAUCAUUAAUGAAUUCAGAUUGAACCAUAGGCGAAAGCCAGUGGUUCUUCUUUCAUAUCCAUAACACUUGUGCACUGUUGGAUGCUUGCAUCCACUUUUAAACUAAACAUUAUUGUAACAAAUGUAGUCUUAUUAUAACAUAAUAAAACUUUCAACAACGGAUCUCUUGGCUCUCGCAUCGAUGAAGAACGCAGCGAAAUGCGAUAAGUAAUGUGAAUUGCAGAAUUCAGUGAAUCAUCGAAUCUUUGAACGCACCUUGCGCUCCUUGGUAUUCCGAGGAGCAUGCCUGUUUGAGUGUCAUGAAACCCUCAAACCCAAGUUUUGGAUUUCGAUCCAUGCUUGAGUUUGGAUUUGGAUGUUUGCCGGUGAUGAACCGACUCAUCUUAAAAGUAUUAGCUUGGAUCUGUCUAUAUGACUGGUUUGACUUGGCAUAAUAAGUAUUUUGCUGAGGACAUCUUCGGAUGGCCAGGACCUAAACUACUGUCUGCUAACUAAACCAUCACUUUAAGUGCAUCUUUGGAUGUUACUUAUNGUGNAACUUUGACAUCUGGCCUCAAAUCAAGUAGGACUACCCGCUGAACUUAAGCCUAUCAACACCUGCUUGAGGGUCAGUA
This 674-nucleotide ribosomal RNA is filed under the name uncultured fungus. RNAcentral's name for it is "eukaryotic LSU rRNA". The stretch from base 207 to 360 matches the Rfam family "5.8S ribosomal RNA". The record is from RNAcentral. Lineage: Eukaryota; Fungi.